Molecule: ribosomal RNA, 889 nt
Filed under: uncultured Bacillota bacterium
Lineage: Bacteria; Bacillati; Bacillota
Description: bacterial SSU rRNA
Rfam family: Bacterial small subunit ribosomal RNA
Source: RNAcentral
CAAGUCGAACGCGAAAGUUCCCUUCGGGGAGCGAGUAGAGUGGCGCACGGGUGAGUAACACGUAGGUAAUCUACCUUUGGAUUGGGAGUAACCACCGGAAACGGUGGCUAAUACCGAAUAAUGCAGCGGCACCUAGUGGUGACAGUUGUUAAAGCGGGGGAUCGAAAGACCUCGCGUCUGAAGAGGAGCCUGCGGCAGAUUAGCUAGUUGGUAAGGUAACGGCUUACCAAGGCUAUGAUCUGUAGCCGGCCUGAGAGGGCGGUCGGCCACACUGACACUGACAUACGGGUCAGACUCCUACGGGAGGCAGCAGUCGGGAAUUUUGGGCAAUGGGCGAAAGCCUGACCCAGCAACGCCGCGUGAAGGAUGAAAUCCUUCGGGAUGUAAACUUCGCAAGAACGGGAAGAAUAAGUAAGAGCUAACAUCUCUUAUGAUGACGGUACUGUUUGUAAGCUCCGGCUAACUCCGUGCCAGCAGCCGCGGUAAUACGGGGGGAGCAAGCGUUGUUCGGAUUUACUGGGCGUAAAGGGCGCGUAGGCGGCCACCGCAAGUCAGUUGUGAAAUCUCUGGGCUUAACCCAGAACGGUCAAUUGAUACUGCGGGGCUAGAGUGCAGAAGGGGCAACUGGAAUUCUCGGUGUAGCGGUGAAAUGCGUAGAUAUCGAGAGGAACACCUGCGGCGAAGGCGGGUUGCUGGGCUGACACUGACGCUGACAGCGCGAAAGCUAGGGGAGCGAACGGGAUUAGAUACCCCGGUAGUCCUAGCCUUAAACGAUGAAUGCUUGGUGUCUGGGGUUUUAUAGUCCCCGGGUGCCGUCGCUAACGCUUUAAGCAUUCCGCCUGGGGAGUACGGUCGCAAGACUGAAACUCAAAGGAAUUGACGGGGAUCC